RNAcentral lists this ribosomal RNA (263 nucleotides) under uncultured bacterium. RNAcentral's name for it is "partial 16S ribosomal RNA". It matches the Rfam family "Bacterial small subunit ribosomal RNA", at positions 1237 to 1500 of the family's 1533-position model. The record is from RNAcentral.
UAACAGAGGGAAGCAACACAGUGAUGUGAAGCGAAACCCAAAAAGCAGUCACAGUUCGGAUUGAAGGCUGAAAUUCGCCUUCAUGAAGCCGGAAUUGCUAGUAAUGGCAGGUCAGCAUACUGCCGUGAAUACGUUCCCGGGCCUUGUACACACCGCCCGUCAAACCAUGAGAGUUGGCAACACCCGAAGUCGGUAGUCUAACCGCAAGGAGGACGCCGCCGAAGGUGGGGUUGAUGAUUAGGGUUAAGUCGUAACAAGGUAUC